GAUGAACGCUGGCGGCGUGCCUAAUACAUGCAAGUCGAGCGAACAGACGAGGAGCUUGCUCCUCUGACGUUAGCGGCGGACGGGUGAGUAACACGUGGAUAACCUACCUAUAAGACUGGGAUAACUUCGGGAAACCGGAGCUAAUACCGGAUAAUAUAUUGAACCGCAUGGUUCAAUAGUGAAAGACGGUUUUGCUGUCACUUAUAGAUGGAUCCGCGCCGCAUUAGCUAGUUGGUAAGGUAACGGCUUACCAAGGCAACGAUGCGUAGCCGACCUGAGAGGGGGGACGGCCACACUGGAACUGAGACACGGUCCAGACUCCUACGGGAGGCAGCAGUAGGGAAUCUUCCGCAAUGGGCGAAAGCCUGACGGGGCAACGCCGCGUUAGUGAUGAAGGUCUUCGGAUCGGAAAACCCUGUUAUUAGGGAAGAACAAAUGUGUAAGUAACUAUGCACGUCUUGACGGUACCUAAUCAGAAAGCCACGGCUAACUACGUG
Molecule: ribosomal RNA, 497 nt
Filed under: uncultured bacterium
Lineage: Bacteria
Description: partial 16S ribosomal RNA
Rfam family: Bacterial small subunit ribosomal RNA
Source: RNAcentral